UACGUAGGGCGCAAGCGUUGUCCGGAAUUAUUGGGCGUAAAGAGCUCGUAGGUGGCUUGUCGCGUCUGCCGUGAAAGCCCAUGGCUUAACUGUGGGUCUGCGGUGGAUACGGGCAGGCUAGAGGCUGGUAGGGGCAAGCGGAAUUCCUGGUGUAGCGGUGAAAUGCGCAGAUAUCAGGAGGAACACCGGUGGCGAAGGCGGCUUGCUGGGCCAGUUCUGACGCUGAGGAGCGAAAGCGUGGGGAGCGAACAGG
RNAcentral lists this ribosomal RNA (253 nucleotides) under uncultured bacterium. RNAcentral's name for it is "partial 16S ribosomal RNA". It matches the Rfam family "Bacterial small subunit ribosomal RNA", at positions 524 to 776 of the family's 1533-position model. The record is from RNAcentral.